GCGAAACAGGACCCGGCGGUGCGGGGGACGAUAAAGUACCUACCGCUUCCCCGGGAGCCCCAGAGCUUCUCAUCGGGAAGCAGCGCUGACGGACGGGGCGGAUCUGGCUCCAGCUUAGAGAAGCUCGACGUUGGACCUAACGUUAGCCCGCCCGAAGGGGCCGCAGCGACCCUGGAGCCGCACAAGGGCCGCGCGAUGCCCGCCGGCACCGCGGGGACGCCGGGAAGGGGCGGCGCGGCCCCCCUCCCCACRCCAGGCGACCGUCCCGGUCGUGCCACCUCCUCCCGGCCUGGCUAAACAGCCYCCUCGGGGACUUCCCAGCCCAAACGCGCUGGGAAAAGGGCGACUUGGUGACCGUCACGGGUUUGCAAACGAUUUCCUGGACUCGGCCCCCGCCGCUGUCGCAUCUUGGCACGCGGCGCGUUCGCGGCGUGCGGCCGGCCCCGCUCCCCCCGCGCCGAGCCCCGGUCGCGUCGGACGCCUGAGCGCACGAGCUGCGUCGGGACGAGGAUAUUUAUAGCCCAUUCAUUAAAAUACCGCCGUCCCCCCCCCGAUGAGGGGUUCGGCUGCAACACGUGAGGCGGCUUGUUUUGCACUGCGCCUGCUGCAGCAGAGGCAACCUCCCUCCCUGCCUCCCUCCCUCGCGCCGCUCGGCAUCAAUGACACAUCCUAAAGUCAUACGUGACACGGGAACGGGGCUGUUGCGCUCUCACGGACGCGAGCCCGAAGGUAACGCGGCCCCUUACGCAACCGGGCGCCCCGACCCCCGCCGUGCGCCGCACGGGCAACCGCGUUUCUUGAAGGAAGAGCGAACCCCCCAGCCAGGCUCCCUGCCGCGCUGCCUCUGCCGGAGGGGCGCAAACGAGCCGCCGCCGCCGCGCGCGGGCCGCAGACCCCCGAAGGGCAGGACCCCCCGGCGAGGCACCYACCUCCUGGCGCGAGCCGCAGGCGCGCAGACCCGGCCCCGACUUUGCAAGUUUUUCCCAGCAGUGAAGAGGUGCAGUCAGGAGAGAGAAGGAAAAAAAAGGAAGAAGAAGACGAAGAMGAAGAAGAAAGCAUCAGCGGAAGGCAGAAAGCAAGCUGGCCGAGAUGGAGGCUCUGCGGCUUUUGGAAGACAGCCUAAAGCGCCGGUCCGGAGCAACCGGGAGCGAUCGGGAAAGCUGGAGCAGACGGAGCCGGAACGCGGACGGAAAGCGGGAUGAGAUCAGACUGGAGGAGCCCUUUGGAGGACGAGGGGGAAAGGAGCUCCCGGCUCUUCGCAGUAACGCUGCAUUUCGACGGGAUCCUCACCUCCAGCGGCUCAAGGGGAAAGGCACUGAAGCACAAGAAGAAAGUUACUUGCAUCUGGAAGUUUUUAAUUCCUACUGCCACAGCCAACACCUGUGAUUACAAGACAGGCACCUACGAUUAUAAAACACAGGAAAUGUUUGAGAAAAAUAUUUUUGUUUCUCUCCCUUCCGUUUGUUUACUCUGUACAUUUCACAGCACUUGCUCUCAUCGCCGUUUCAGCGUCUCCCUCUCUCCGAACACAGUAUCAAAGAUCCGCAGAAGCGGGAAGAAGCAUCCGAGUGCACAGGGGAACGAGCCAGGCACGUGCGGAAAACAGCUCCACGAAACCUCCUAUUUUUGCUGUUUACUUUUUUAAAAAGAAAUGACAGCUGUGAAAUGACACRAAACGUGCAAGGUGUCCAACAGACUCAAACAAAAGUCGUUCUUUCUUCUCGAAUCGCAUCCUGCUGUCAAAAGCCUUUAGAGAAGUGCAGAGCACGACGGGGGGGACCUGAGCAGUCGCUGCAGCUCUGCUGCUUUUCUGCGGGCUCUUAACCCCCUGCAGUGACCAGAUUUCAAGCCAAUCACACCUUUUCAAGUGCUGUUGCUCACUUCUCACACGUACAUGGAAUUUAGGACUAGAAAAUGCGACGCUUCUCCAUUUUCUAGAGUAUCGGCAACCGUAGCACCAAUCAAGAGCUGUUCUGGGAYUACCUACCUACCUACCCACCCACAUCUCUAGCCAAAUCUACAGCGCCAAGGAAGACACCAUGAUUUGCUGGAAGAACUUUGGAAGCCGAGCUGCAGCAAACACCUCGGGAGCGGCUGGAACCACGCCGCGCUUUCCAGAACUGAACCCGAACGGCUGCCGGGUUGGGGAGCUGGAGCGGGCUCUCGCAAAGCCUCGCUACCAUCGCGCACCAUCGCGCGCCU
Molecule: long non-coding RNA, 2202 nt
Filed under: Dromaius novaehollandiae (emu)
Lineage: Eukaryota; Metazoa; Chordata; Aves; Casuariiformes; Dromaiidae
Description: lncRNA (ENSDNVG00000018023.1)
Source: RNAcentral